This 8533-nucleotide long non-coding RNA is filed under the name Coffea arabica (coffee). RNAcentral's name for it is "long non-coding RNA (CARA_LNC004830)". Lineage: Eukaryota; Viridiplantae; Streptophyta; Magnoliopsida; Gentianales; Rubiaceae. The record is from RNAcentral.
UCUUUUUUUUUUUUUUUUUUUUUUUUGCUCAGUUUAUUUUACAUGAGUCGACUCGUGGGGACAGAUUUUCAGAAGAUUAUAUGCAAGCAUGUGCAGCACGCUGCACGCACGUCAACCUGUGGAGGGAAAACUUGACGUUGGGCCGUACCAAGGGUCCAUCUGACAACGUACUUACAUUUCGUCAAAUAUAUUUUUUAUUUUUUAUUUUAAAAAUAAUGACUUCACACCCUUGCAAAAUCAAAGAAAUAAAAUUUAAUUUCAACCUAAAUUUUAGGCCACUUUUUACACUAAAUUUAUCACAUGAUCCAUACAUAGUUAUUUUUUUCUCUAUAAAAGGUAUAAUUUGGCUUAACUCAUAUUCAUUUUUACCUCUAAAAAAGUAAGAUUUAAUCCGAAUCAUAUUCAUUUUUUUCUUAAAAAAAAAAAAGAAAUCAAAACAAUUCAUAUUUAUUUUUAUCACUAAAAAAGAGGGAUCUAACAUGUUGUAUAUGAAAAAUAACUGCAUGCGAAUUAAAAAGAUGACGUGAUUUUACGCUAAAAAGUGACUGAAAACCUAUAUUGGAAACAAAUUUUAUUGACUUAAUUUUGUAUAAGAUAUAAAGUUACUCUCUUAAGAGUAGAGAACGAAAAAAUUCAUUUGAUAAAAUAUAACGAGCAUUUUGAACGAUUUUCCUAACUAAAAAAAAAAAACCUACAUGGACCCCGCGCUUUUACAGAAACUCAUAUUUGCAUAAUCACGCGUGACACUGACCUUAAACCUGAAUCAACUUGAUACAGUCAGCCUUCGGUUUUCCCUUCCGCUAUGGAGUUGACCCCGAGAAGAAAAAAGUCUUCCAGUGUUCAGGUUGGAAGCGGCAGGAGCAUGGCUACCUUCCCAUUGUUCUGACUGCCAACCUAAGCGAGAGUCAGAGAGGGCUUUGCUUGCGUCCAUAUUAUUUUCCCACGAUCGUUGUAGCAAAUUCCGUGGCCACUACUGAAAUACGAUAAGAAAAGCCACGGUCAAAUAAAGUUCAGAUUAGUCGAGAUUCCCACCGAAAGAGGGCUCUGCAUGUCUGCUUCAUAUUCAGAUUUAACAGGACCCUCCACAGCCUGCAGUAAUGUUUCAAUCACAGUAAACAAGACUCACCAAUACCGUAUAUAUAUAGUCAUAUGUAACUCAGGAACUCUUUGUAAGUACCGAAUGCCACGGUCUGCAAGUGUCAAAUUCAAGAGGAAUACCGAGAUUUUGCAAUUAGUGCAGAAAGCCGGUUGCUAGGUCAAAUGCGUGUCAAAACCGAUGCAUUCCAACUAAGCUACAAAAAUCAACGAGAGAUGUAGCCUAAGAAGUGGAUUCUUUCUCGUUGUAAGGCUGCAAACCACAUUCAAGCCUGAUCGCUGACAUAAGAUCGUGAGGUAUAGCAUGCGGAGUCCUACCCUCUCUGCCUGAAAAAGUAUCUCGAAUCUGUAGUACUUUCCCGGCUACCAUGGGUAGUUGGCUCUCCUGCUCCCCAACCCCUAUACAGUAUGACUUUACUUGGUUCUUGAGACACCAGCACAGCCCCAGUGGCUUGCUGUGAGGUUAACAGGAGUUAAAAACAGCCUCAAAACAACGAUUUAAUCAAAGCAAAUAUUAGCAAACAUCAGAAAUGAUUUCUGUAAAUUUCUGAAGUUAAAUUUAUCUCAAAGCUCAUUGCCGCAGAUACUUAAAACGGAUUUCAAUCACAAACCUCCAGCUUGAAGACCACCUCCUGGACAGAAGUCCCUUUGGCUCUGCUUUUACAUUCACUAUAGCAAGAGGGUACUUUUGGAAGCGGACCUUGAUUGCUUCAGCAAGUCCACUAACCUUGUUGCUCUUCCCUAAGAAAUAAGACCAUUUGUAAAAUACUUUAUGUUACCCAGCCAAACAGGUGAAACAGUUAAAAACAAACCUUCCAUCUCAAUCAAAAUAUAAAAGACUGCUACUUCUGUCUAUCUAUUGCGUCAUUUAGAAAGAAAAUUGCCUCAAGAAUUAUUUAGAACAGUUUGGCAGUGUAUUCAUGAGCAUUUACAAUUUCAAUAUACUAUUUCCAAUUCUUUAUUGGUCUACAGCUUUUCAGAAUAGCAUAUGCUGGACUCUUACACUGAUGAAAAACUAGUUAUCCACAUAAUGCUACAUUACGAGAUUCAUAUUUCUGAACACGUGUGUUCUAGAGUAGCCAGAAACCAAACUUGAGUGUCCAGAAACUACAGUCAAUCACAAAAUGGCAGAAUGUAAUCCACAGAGACAAAAAAAUGUCCAAACAACCAACGUGCAACAAGGUUUCACAACAUAAGGAACUGAACUAUAGGAGUCCCAGAACCACGGCCAAUGACAAAAUGACAGAAUGUGAUCCACAGAGACAACAAAUAUCCCGCAACUAACAUACGACAAAGUUUCACAACAAAAGGAACUAUAUCAGAAAUCCACAUGUUGGUGGCUGGAAAAGGGCCAAAUUUGUCUCAUCCAACAUGUAAAACAACAUUACUCUUGAAAUAGGGGUUUAUAGCAGAAUAUUAAAUCAAGAAAGAUACAAAAUAUAUUCGUAUUACCUAUGGCAAACACAUGAUGCUUUUUCAUCUUCAGCGCUUGUUUCCGCAAAAGUAGCCUGUCUCUAUUGGAGAGGCUUUUAGCUCUAACAAGUAUUGCAUUGCAGCCACUUUCCUUAACUACAUGAACUGAUGAAUCUAGCUCAGUUUUCAUGGAUCAGCAGGGAAUGCAUAGCUUUGGUGCCACCAAGUUUAGCCUCCAUAGUACCAAUAGCGGAAGUGCGUGUCACACCAAGUGUCUAAGAUAAAAGAAAAAAACAUUCAUAGAAGAUUAAUUAGGCUUGUACAACUCGACUCGAUUUAUUGACAGAAAAGGGAAUCAGGAGAAGAUGAGGGUGGCACAUUUCCACGAAUUCAAAAGAUCUUUAGCUUCUUUACUUGUACCUUUUCCCAUUUCAUUUAGAUAAAGGUUCUGCAUCUGCAUUAUCAAACUCAUAGCAAUGUUUUCAAAGUCAUCACUCAUAAAUUCCAUGUCACACAGUAUGCAGAGAGUUUGUUCAGCGAUUCAAUCCUAUAGUUCUGGUUAUGAAAAGAAACUAAAAUGAUGAAGGGAAAAAAAUUAUUGUGCACUAGGAAAUAUUUUAUAUUAAAAAGAAACGUAAUUAACAACAAUAUGGCCUACACUUCACACAUCCUGGGUGCAUGACACUGAAAUUGACUGACUUGGCAGCAGUACAAAUUAAGCUGCACUGAAAUUGCUGUAACCAUUAAAUAUGCUUGAACCUUCUGGAGAAAUUUUUUUUUUUUUUUUUAAAUUUAGCCUCUCUAGUUUAAUGCAGCACGAAUUCUCAUAUAAGUCCUUUACCUAAAGUAAGUGUUUUAUAUUUGUCAUACAACAAUUUCAGAUUCCAAAGCCAGUGAAACAAUCCAUUAGAUAGAUGAGCAUGAGGUUGACACACACUGGAUUAGCAUGGCCUUGGAUGAUGACAAAAAAUAUAUAGCUCAUUCCAAAACUCAAAAAGAGAAGGGAUCCUUUUUACCUGUUCAUUAUAAUGGCUCGUUGACAAUGAUUGGGGAGAGAGUUCAGGACUAGCAAGGGACAUUUUAUUUUUUGAUGAAUGGAACUUGUCUGGCUCCUGCUCUUCGUCCUGGAUCAUGAUUAAACUGCAUAUAUUAGCCCAGAUUUUGAAAUAAUCUUGCAACGGAAGAACAGUAUAAUGAGAUCUGAAAGGAAAUUCACCAAUUUGAGUUUUAAUUCUUCAGCCAAGUCCGUCUUGUUUGUACCCUUUUCUUUGGCCUGGAUCAAAUGAAUGAUAUGUAAUUUCCACCAGAAUACAGUCUAUUAGCUGCAGAAAACAAAUUAAGGCUCUGAAAUAAGAUAACCCACCAAUUGAAGCUUCAACCGAUCUAUAUUCUGUGUAAGCUUCAAAACAUGUAAUUUGAGAGACUGCAAUUCAUGCAAAGAGAAUAUGUGAGGCACAACGAGCAAUACUCAUAAUCAAAAUACUUGAUAACAAAAAAGCUGUGUUAACAGUGUCCUGUACCACCAUAGAAAAUUAAAGGAAGGAUAAUUUGGAAUAGUUUCGUGCUUUGUCUCACUACAUAUACAAAUGGAUGAAAUGAAAACCAGGGGAUAAACACAAACUUGACCUCACGACGUUGUGCCUCUAAAGAACGUUCAUUGCUUCUCUUUUGCUUAGAAGCGAACGAGGCCUCAAACAAGCAGGGCGACUGUAGUUCUUUCCACGAUAUACAAUGAUAGCAAAACUUUGCUAACCCGUUCAACUGCUACUAAAAUUCCGCCACUUUCUGCCUCCAGUGUUCGUGCUCUUGCAGUGACCUCCUCAAUACUUCUUCCCCCGGUUAUAAUCUUCACUAAUUCUCUGUAUUUCCAGUGAAGAUGCAUAUUUUCGAUUGUUCCAUCAAAUACUCCUCGUCUUCCUGAGCAUGAAAGAGAGAAAUUUACAAGGAUGACAUGAGGCCAGAAACACACACUUUUGGCUUGCCAAUGUCAUUCUUCAUCAUAGGGUGUAGUAAGCAAGCACUUCCUUUAGCACUUACCCAGAAGCAGGAAAGGUUUCAUUCUCAAGCCAAUUUUUCUCAGCAUAUAUCGUUCUUCUUCUGUAAUACCUUCUUUAUCAACUUCUGGCUCUUGGGUGGUCUCUUCCUUCUCCAGCUCUACAAGAAGCUUCUCUGCCAUGUCUUUCUUCACUAGUGCCUGUAAGGCUGUAAAAGAUUAACAUGUUUGGGAAAAUAGACAAGUGACUGGAACAGAUUUUGAGGUAGUAUUACAUAACAUGCCUUGGAUAAUUUGGCACUAGUUCUCUCAAUUGCUGCUUCUGUUGAGCUUCGAUGCCUUCGCUUGGAGCAAGUUCAAGUUUCUGGUCCUCUUUACCAUUAUUUUCAUCUCCAUUACAAUUUUCUGAGGUCCCCAGCCUUUGGUCUUUUGAGCUCACUGUAGUAAAACUUUUGUCUGCUCCCUUUUCUUCACCAUCAAGCACAUAGUUCCUCCGCUUUUCAAUUGCUAAAGAGACUGCAGCUGGCAAGAAAUCCUUUCCUCUGUACAGGACAAUGAAUUCCUUAUCUCUUGAAAGCAAGGUUCCCCCAGUUAGGUUCUGCAAGAGUAUAGUUUCAAGUAAAUAUAUGUCAGUGCAGAAGAGUUACUGGCAGUUACAUGUUAGUCCCCUGAUAAAACAGAGCCUAGACAGGAACGACAGAAGAUCUCUUAAACCCAUCUAGCAGACCUUUAGUUCCUCAGCCAUCAAUUCACUGUUGGUGUUCUGGACUCCUCUUUUAACAGCAAUUUUGGCAAUUUCACAUUUCUCCCAUAGCUUAAUAAUUGCAGCAGCCAAGCCCUGAAGUUUUCUAUUUCUGCCUGAAACAAAGGAAAUCGGUAUAAGUAAUAAACUUUGACUAGUAACUAUGCAAUGCUUCCCAAUUUACAAAUCACUCACCUAGGGCAAAAUGGCAUGGUAAAGGCCGACCAAGUCUCCGUAAAAAUGUCAUUUCAUCAUUUGUUAAUAUAGGUUUCACUCCAUAAGGAAGCAGACGAAAUGGUCUCCUAUAUCCAGGAACUGCUGCUGGUAAAAAAUCAGCAUCAACAGGUAAAGGUUCAUACCCCACCAAUCAGUAAACCGGGGACCAAGUCCUUCUAACAGGCGAUCAGCCUCUUCAGCAAGUUGUGCCUCACCAGGCAGUUGGAAUCGUACUCUAUUUGGAGUUCCUACACCUUGUAUUAGAGGUGGAUGAGACACUUUGCUGAGUGACUUAGGUACAGAAGAUCUCAGGGCAUUCCCACCAGAUGAAGAAGCCUUCUUUUCAUUAUCCUCUCUGUAAUCCAUCCGAAAAUCAACUGAAGCUUCUUCACGCAAAGAGCCAUUUGCUGUAUUAUCAUCAGAAAAGAAAUAGGGUACUUGUAAUCAGCUCCUCUGUAUAGCACUAUGUUAGUUCCAGAUCUCCAAACUACUAAGCCUCCAGUCUUCAUCUGGUAAUCCAAAUCACCACACCACACCCAAAAGAAGGAAAACAGGUCAGAUUACGUAACGUUGCAGAGGAAGAAACACAAUUGAAGUGAAUUAUGGACUUCUGAUAGUAAGUACCAAUAACUGUUAAAAAAGACCAUUUGCAGUUAAAUAUGCUUCAGCACAUACCAUGAAGUCAAGCCAUAGUAAAUGCAAACUAAUAAUGGGCACGUAAUAGGACAUGAAAAUCUCAUUAAAACCCAAAUAUUACUGGACAAAUUUGCCUUACAAUAUGUCGUUUGAAGGGUUCAAAUAUAACUAGCAGCUGUUUUUCACAAAGUGGUUAGAGAAACAACUUCAAGCGUAACUAGCAGCUCUACUUAAACUUGAUCUUCAAACAAAGUUUUUACAUUGGAAGCAAGAUAUGCGAAUGUAACUACAAUCAACAUACAAUUGUAGAAUUGGGGAAAAAAAAGGACAUUAACAAUGAGAUCUUACCUCUAACAACUCAUGAGUCCUCUUCAUAUUCAUCCUACAGAUAUCCUCACACCUGAUCUUGACCACCUCAUACCUCCUCCACCUCUCGUGAAUCCCAUUCACAAUCCCUUCCGUGAUCCCGGCCUUCCCAACCUUCAACUUCUUCUGCAACCGAAUACCAAGUGUCCUCAGCCUCCUCAGCUCCCCUCCGGCAAAUUGAGCUCCGCCAAGGUGGGCACUGUCUCCCUUUUCUUCCUCUCCUCAAUCCUCUCCUUAAUCACGCCCCUCCUCAACUGGUGAUACUUCUGAAUCGCAUUCCCCGAGCCGGGUAAGGGGACGGGUUCUGGGGCGUGCUCCAACUCGGGUCAAGAGUGUGCCCGACCCGGUACUUCGGCAACUGGGAAGGCAACGGAACAAAGAUUUCGCCCGGCGAGGCCCAUUCUUUGGAAGCUUAUCUUCAUCUUUGUUCUCAUCCUUAUCAUCUUCGACGUAGCCGAGGCCGCGAAGCUUUUCGGCAAUCCUUUGGAUGGCGGAUUGGGGUAGAGUUUCAGUGUCGCCAGUGGCAGUGGCAAUGGCAGUGGCGGUGGCUCGGCAGAAGAGCGGUUUCGGAGGAGAGACGCCGUACGUGGUAGGUGGGUUUGGGAAGGUGACGGAGGAAGGUAGAAAGGGGUUAAGGAGGGGUUUGGAUUUGGCGGGGGAAGUAAGUAGAAUUGAUGGUUGCCUGUAUAUAGGGCCAUUUGGAGUAGCAGGACACUAAGCCGUUAACGAGUUCUUGAGGUUGGAAUGCAAUAAGCUUUUUAUCGGCUCACCAGCCAUUGCCAUUGCAGGACCGAUAUCUCUACGGCAAUAACUUUUUAAGUUCUCUGUAUAUUAUCCGGUUGAAUAUUUCAUUUUCAGGCGUUUUCUAUAUCUCCUCUCCGAAUGUCUCCGCCAGAUUUUCAAAAAAUUUGGUAAGUGAGAAGUCUUAUUUUAUAAUUCUAACGUUUCCGGAAAAAAAAAAAGAGAAGUCUUAUUUUAUAAGCCGACAAUCAGAACUACAAAAUAUGUGUGUUAUUAUCGUGUUCAUAUCUAUAAUUAAAAUUCUUUCCAUUAUCACUUGAAUAAACAUACACAUAUGCAGCGAUAUGGAUUAAGAUUUAAGAUUAAUCUUUCCUACACUGCACUGACCGUCAGUAUUAGAUGGAUGAUAACUAUACAAAAUUUGAAUUUAAAAUUUAACUUUUAUAUACAUGUCAUUAAUCUAAUAGUGAUAGUACAUGCGCUGUCAGUGUAUAUAAGAUUUACUCGAAAAUUUAGAAAGAGAUAUAAUUAGACAGAGCAGUUGUUUGACAACAGGCAACACCAAAACUCGAAAAAUCAGUUUAAAUAUGAUAAAUAAUCAGGAAACACAUCACUACUCAAAAUUUUCUAGCAAUUAUGAAAAGUUGUUUGAUACGACUGAAUAAUAAAUAAAUAAGGUUGCUUUAAUAACAGCAAACUUUUGAAUUACCACAUUGCCAUUUUCUAGUAUUUUUCACAGUCCCAAGUUACCAACAAUCUCGGUACAAUUAAAUGGGUUAAUUACAAAUCAGAGGGGGCCAAAGACCCACAAAAGUGAGCACUUAAACGCAGAUGUAUAAUAGACAUAGAAAUCCCAAAUUUUCAAUUUUUUUGGUGUUAUCCACAGCUAAAUUUAAAAUUGCAAUGUCGCAACAUUUUUAGCUGUUAAAAUUAUCCUGCCAGCCAACCGUUUAGAUGUCGGUUAAAAGUAACCUGGCGCGGCAGUAUGUAAAAACAUGUGGGGCCGCAAAUAUAUCUAUAGCUAUUUGGCAGCAAACAAAAUGGUUGGAGUUGAAAAGAAAUGUUCUCUUAUUUUUGCUUUUGUGCAUGCAAUAUUGCCAUCUAUCAACACUAGAAAUGCAAUUCUUUCCUCUGAUAUUCAUUCUAUUUCCCAAGACAAUGGGCAGAUGCACAUUGUUAAUUUACAGGAUCGUACGUAACACAUUUACAAAUGAAUUGGGAACCGGUGUACAGAAGAUCCACCCAGAAACUGAACGCUUUCAGCACAGCCAAACCGAUCGGAUCAGGCCAUUAUUAAGCAGAUAACUACUCAUCAGAAACUGAACGUGACU